UUAGAGAGAAGGAUAGGAACAGGAUGGAGCCAGUGAAGAAGAGGAAGAUUUCCCCUGUGUGGAAACAUUUUGAUUUGAUAACUCCUAAUAAGGUAGCAAACUGUGGCAUCAGUUUGACACCAGCGUCAUGGAGGCACAUAAGUCCAAAAAUGUUUCUGCCCAUGCCACUGUGCCAGAGCCUUUAGGAACUCUGGGCGAAUCUCAUCCACCCCCGGGGCCUUGCCAACAACGAGCUUUUUAACCACCUCGGUGACCUCAACCCCAGAGAUAGGAGAGCCCACCUCAGAGACGCCAGACUCUGCUUCCUCGUGGGAAGGCCUGUCAGUGGAAUUGAGGAGGUCUUCGAAGUAUUUUUCCCCACAGACUCACAACAUCCCGAGUCGAGGUCAGCAUUGUCGCAUCCCACUAUACACAGUGUUGAUGGUGCACUUCUUCCCACUCCUGAGACGCCGGAUGGUGGACCAGAAUUUUUUUGAAGCCGUCUGGAAGUCAUUCUCCAUGGCCUCACUGAACUCCUCCCACGAGUUUUUGCCUCAGCAACCACCAAAGCUGCAUUCCGCUUGGCCAGCCGGUCCCACAGACCAAAAAGGCCGAUAGGAUUUCUUCAGUUUGACGGCAUCCCUCACCGGUGGUGUCCAUCAACGGGUGGGUGGGUUGCCGCCACGACAGGCACCAACCACCUUAAGGCCACAGCUCUGGUCGGCCGCCUCAGCUAUGUAGGCGCGGAAAAUGGUCCACUUGGACUCAAUGUCCCUCCCCCCGUGGGUGUAGUUCUGCUGGAGGUAGGAGUUGAAAAUCCUUCUGACAGGGGAUUCUGCCAGACGUUCCCAGCAGACCUGCCAGGUCCGACCGGCAUCUUCCCCCACCAUCGGAGCCAACUCACCACCAGGUGGUGAUCAGUUGAGUGUCCAAGACAUGCGGCUGCAAGUCUGAUGACAUGACCACAAAGUCGAUCAUCGAACUGCGACCUAGGGUGUCCUGGUGCCAAGUGCACGUGUGGACACCGUUAUGCUAGGAUACUAGGAUCGUAAGCGUGCUGGAGCCUAUCCCAGCUAUCUGUGGGCGGGAGGUGGGUUACACCCUGAACUGGUCACCAGCCCAUCACAGAUUCUCAGAACAUGACUGUGAUAUUACCUUAUUGGUGCUCCAGGAUUGUUUAAUGAGGAUCGCUGUUCCACCUUCAUGUUUUACCAUAUUCUGUUGCACUGCGGUUGGGUCUGUAAACACUGUAGCCUGCCGGUGUUAUGGCUUCGUCGGAGGUCCUCGAUCCUAGCCACGUUUCACAGAAACAUAAAACGGAGCAAUCCUUAAUGUACCGCUGUGUAGCCCGCCGACUGAAGAGGUCAUCCAUGUUGUUGUUGGUCUCUUGAAAUAUCGUCUUUGGCUUUAACACCAAGCAAUGUUCUUUUAAGGCUCUAAAGUUAAAUGUAUCCCAAAACAUUUAAGUGUGUGACCAAUAAAUAUUUAGCAAACUGA
Phyllopteryx taeniolatus (common seadragon) is the source of this 1476-nucleotide long non-coding RNA. RefSeq lists it as uncharacterized. The transcript has 2 exons. The record is from RefSeq and is a predicted model, not a curated record. NCBI's taxonomy places the organism in Eukaryota, Metazoa, Chordata, Actinopteri, Syngnathiformes, Syngnathidae.